This 584-nucleotide ribosomal RNA is filed under the name uncultured bacterium. RNAcentral's name for it is "bacterial SSU rRNA". It matches the Rfam family "Bacterial small subunit ribosomal RNA", at positions 338 to 916 of the family's 1533-position model. The record is from RNAcentral.
CCUACGGGAGGCAGCAGUGAGGAAUAUUGGACAAUGGAGGAAACUCUGAUCCAGCCAUGCCGCGUGCAGGAUGAAUGCCCUAUGGGUUUUAAACUGCUUUUAUACAGGAAGAAACAUUUCCACGUGUGGAAACUUGACGGUACUGUAAGAAUAAGGAUCGGCUAACUCCGUGCCAGCAGCCGCGGUAAUACGGAGGAUCCAAGCGUUAUCCGGAAUUAUUGGGUUUAAAGGGUCCGUAGGUGGUUAUUUAAGUCAGAGGUGAAAUCCUGCCGCUUAACGGUAGAACUGCCUUUGAUACUGAUUAACUUGAGUUAUUGUGAAGUAGUUAGAAUAUGUAGUGUAGCGGUGAAAUGCAUAGAUAUUACAUAGAAUACCGAUUGCGAAGGCAGAUUACUAACAAUAUACUGACACUGAGGGACGAAAGCGUGGGUAGCGAACAGGAUUAGAUACCCUGGUAGUCCACGCCGUAAACGAUGGUCACUAGCUGUUUGAUUAACAUUGGUUAAUUAAGUGGCUAAGCGAAAGUGAUAAGUGACCCACCUGGGGAGUACGCUCGCAAGAGUGAAACUCAAAGGAAUUGACGG